UACGUAGGGGGCAAGCGUUGUCCGGAUUUAUUGGGCGUAAAGGGCGCGUAGGCGGCUCAUGAAGGCUGUGGUGAAAGUCCGGGGCUCAACCUCGGAUCGGCCGUGGCGACUCGUGGGCUGGAGCACUGUAGAGGCGGGUGGAAUUCCGGGUGUAGCGGUGGAAUGCGUAGAGAUCCGGAAGAACACCAGUGGCGAAGGCGGCCCGCUGGGCAGUGGCUGACGCUGAGGUGCGAAAGCGUGGGGAGCAAACAGG
RNAcentral lists this ribosomal RNA (253 nucleotides) under uncultured bacterium. Its description in RNAcentral is "partial 16S ribosomal RNA". It matches the Rfam family "Bacterial small subunit ribosomal RNA", at positions 524 to 776 of the family's 1533-position model. The record is from RNAcentral.